Molecule: long non-coding RNA, 645 nt
Filed under: Junco hyemalis (dark-eyed junco)
Lineage: Eukaryota; Metazoa; Chordata; Aves; Passeriformes; Passerellidae
Description: lncRNA (ENSJHYG00000013637.1)
Source: RNAcentral
AAGCAUCUCACCCCAGAUGUCAUUCCCAUUAAUUUCCCAAAAUUACCAUGAGUACUGAACCUAGAGGAGUUAAGCUUAAUUGUCUUUGUUCUUCAUUCCCAUGAUCUAUUCUUUCUUCUCUUCCUGCUCACACACUGGGUUGAUGUUCUCCAGGUGAAGCCAUUGCAACCACAGGGCUCUCUGAACUGGGCUGUCAGCACGACGGAGCUGCAGAUGCUAAAAUAUCUCUACUGCAUAUUUUCAGCUGUCCACACAAAUACCUUCUCAUGUCUGUGGGGGAAGGAGAAAAGGGAGGAGAGGAAAGGAAGGAAGACAGGGAAGAGGACUGUCUCCAGCUUUCAUCUCAAAAUGGAGAUAGGACACAGCCUUGGAAUGCACCUUGAAUUUGCAGAACUUGUUGAAACAGAACUCUUCAGGAGUCUUUUUCUCUACAAAGAGCUAACAAUGGACCUCCCUUCAAUCAAUAUGGAGAUGAACAAACAAACCAAUAUUUAGAUGUGUAAGGCUUCCACUGCUGUAAUAUGUAAGCAUGAAUUAAAAGGUUUGGAAAAUUGCACCUUCAUAUCUCCAAAGUGACCAUCAUUUUCAAUUAGGAUAAUAAUCUAUUAUAAUAAAUUAUUAAAUAUUCUUUAAAGAAAACUAAGU